This 99-nucleotide small nucleolar RNA is filed under the name Chinchilla lanigera (long-tailed chinchilla). Its description in RNAcentral is "Small nucleolar RNA SNORA28 (ENSCLAG00000020587.1)". The record is from RNAcentral. Lineage: Eukaryota; Metazoa; Chordata; Mammalia; Rodentia; Chinchillidae.
AAUUAGAACCUAGAGUUUAAGCUUGCUACUGCAAGAAAGUCUAAACUAUUCUAACACUCUCUCCUCUGUGAGAUGGGCUAUUACACAAACUUAAACAAU